Molecule: unclassified non-coding RNA, 236 nt
Filed under: uncultured Mortierella
Lineage: Eukaryota; Fungi; Mortierellomycota; Mortierellomycetes; Mortierellales; Mortierellaceae
Description: sequence contains ITS2
Source: RNAcentral
AACACCUCAAGUCUCUUCUUUUUUGAGAAGAGAGUUGGACUUGAGCAAUCCCAACUUUUUUAUUAAAGGCGGGUUGCUUGAAAUGCAGGUGCAGCUGGACAUUCUUCUGAGCUAAAAGCAUAUUUAUUUAGUCCCGUCAAACGGAUUAUUACUUUUGCUCUAGCUAAUAUAAAGGAAGAGUGUUCUCUAUGCUGACUGAUGCAGGAUUACCAAGAUUUACCUAGUAAAACUUGUAA